UGAGGUAGAAGGCCCCUGGAGUUUUUA
RNAcentral lists this non-coding RNA (27 nucleotides) under Homo sapiens (human). Lineage: Eukaryota; Metazoa; Chordata; Mammalia; Primates; Hominidae. The record is from RNAcentral.